CCCAGUGUGGCAUAGUUGUUUGAGCGCUGGACUAGGACUCUGGAGACCAGGGUUCAAAUCCUGGCUCGGCCA
This is a non-coding RNA of Phrynosoma platyrhinos (Desert horned lizard), 72 nucleotides long. The record is from the annotation of a GenBank genome assembly. NCBI's taxonomy places the organism in Eukaryota, Metazoa, Chordata, Lepidosauria, Squamata, Phrynosomatidae.